GAUGAACGCUAGCGGCAGGCCUAAUACAUGCAAGACGAACGGUAAGUUGAGUAGCAAUACUUAGCCAAGAGUGUCGUACGGGUGCGUAACACGUAUGCAACCUACCCUAUACAGGAGGAUAGCCUAGGGAAACCUGGAUUAACCCUUCAUAGUAUUAUUGGAUGGCAUCAUUUGAUAAUUAAAAACUGAGGUGGUAUAGGAUGGGCAUGCGUCUGAUUAGUUAGUUGGCGGGUAAUGGCCCACCAAGACGAUGAUCAGUAGGGGUUCUGAGAGGAAGAUCCCCCACACUGGCACUGAGAUACGGGCAGACUCCUACGGGAGCAGCAGUAGGGAAUAUUGGUCAAUGGAUGCAAGUCUGAACCAGCCAUGCCGCGUGCAGGAAGAAGGCCUU
Molecule: ribosomal RNA, 391 nt
Filed under: uncultured bacterium
Lineage: Bacteria
Description: bacterial SSU rRNA
Rfam family: Bacterial small subunit ribosomal RNA
Source: RNAcentral